Molecule: transfer-messenger RNA, 93 nt
Filed under: Desulfomicrobium sp.
Lineage: Bacteria; Pseudomonadati; Thermodesulfobacteriota; Desulfovibrionia; Desulfovibrionales; Desulfomicrobiaceae
Description: partial transfer-messenger RNA
Rfam family: transfer-messenger RNA
About the family: Bacterial tmRNA, also known as 10Sa RNA or SsrA, is named for its dual tRNA and mRNA-like properties. Its role is to liberate the mRNA from a stalled ribosome.
Source: RNAcentral
GGGGCCGCCCUGGUUUCGACGGGGAUGAUGAGGCCAAAGUUGCAGGUCGAGGUGCUGGGAGGUCCUCGUCAAAACCCAGCAGAAACAUAAUUG